UUACAGUAAUCUAAUUUAAUUUAAACGCUUCAGGCCCACAAUCAGGGAUUGGUUUUGGGAACGAAGCCUCAAACGGAGACGAAUCGAGUUAAACGGCCGUAGUUCUCACCAUGGAGGUAGAAUCACACUUACAUGCGACUAGACUCAGAUCGAUCAGGGACUAGUAUAUAGUAGAAGGAAAUGAAUGACGCGUAGCGUGCGAAAAUCAAAUGACAGGCAUGGCAGAGCAUCGUCUGGGCUUCACCUCUGCUUUUCCUGCAGGCACUGAAGAUUAUUCUGACGACGAAGAUGGGCUUUGCAUCAUCGACGGCAAUGCACUUUCAAAUAUGAAUCAGCAACCAUCAUCUGCAAAUGUUCCCGAAUGGGAUACUGUAGGUUCAGUCAAAUCAUCAACAGAAACUCCAUUUCAAGAUAAUGACAGGAGCUUGGAGGGUGGUAGGAAUGCUGAGUCAUCAGCAAACAGUUCUACAAAAAGGGACAGGCAGGGAUUUCCAAUUAUUUUGGAUGACUUUCGGAAAGCAGUAUGCCGAGGAAACCUACAGGAUGUGGAAGCUUUCAGAUUACAAGGUGUUCCAGUAGAUACUUCCUUGAGAGCAGGAUGGACAGCUCUCAUGUAUGCAGUGUUCUAUGGAAAUACUCAGAUUGCGGAAUACCUUGUGCAAGAAGGGGCUGAUGUUAACUUUAACAAGGCAUCAUAUAUGUACACGCCAUUGAUUGCAGCUGCAUCAAGUGAACAGGAAAAGGGUCAUGUUACAUCAUGUUUGACCAUUUUACUUGAGAUGGGUGCUAAUCCAAACGUGCAUGAAAGAAGUCACAUGACUCCACUGAUGUUUGUUGCAAAGAAUGGAAACAUGGAUGCGGUGCAGAAAUUAAUUGACUUCAGAGCUGAGACAGACAGACAAGACAACCGUGGGUGGACAGCUCUUUGUUAUGCUGCCAACCAAGGAUACACCAGUGUUGCAGAAUGUCUGUUGAAUGCUAAAGCUGAUGCCAAGAAAAGAUGUUCUGAGGGAACAGCACGGGAUAUAGCCUGUAGUCAUGGCUAUAUUGAGCUUACAGAACUUAUAGAGAGAAGUAUGUCAUCUGGCAGGACAAAUGAUGAAACUCCUCAUCCAGAACAACAUUCCUUUUUAUCACCAUCUAGGUCUGUGUCAAUGCAACCGACAACCUCUUUGUCUAUAAAUCUGACCAGCAGUGCAUCUGGAGAAGCCUGUGAUGACCUUGAUUUGUUUCUUUGUGGUUUAGACCUUGGACACCUCAGUCCUUGUUUCCGUCAGCAUGCAGUCAAGUUCUCUGUCCUCCUUCAGAUGUCAGAGGCAGAUUUAGAAAAGAUAAAAAUCAUGACGGAACCUGCAGGUGGAGCUACACAUACCUCCAUGGACAGAUGCAUGGUCUAUCUCAGCUUGAACUGGAAGAUAAUUGAAAAAAAAAAACAAUUGAAAGGAAAAUCAUGGGUUGAAGAAAAGAGGCCAAUUUUAUUGAGAUCGCCAGCAAAAUACAUUAAUAAUUCCAUACCCUGACCUCGCAGGUUCAGAACGCACUGAGGGAACAGUCACCCAACAAAUAUUGCUUUUUUAGGAAGAAUUGAAAAACACGAUUGAAUGGGAAGUAGAGCAAAUAGGAAAGAGAGUCACUGGGAAAAGUGUGUUCUUGAGGGCUGCAAAGAUCGUUGCCGCUCACCCCCGAAAGCGGGACAUCAUGCUGUUCCGGUGGCUGGACGAUUGGCUGAUCGUCAGCAGAUCGUUCAACAAAGCAGAGGUUUCUACCCGCGUUACUUGCAAGAUCACAAAUUGCCUGGGCUUCAUCAUCAACCAUGAGAAGUUGAAUCUCACCCCAACGCAAUACCCGACCGUAUCUAGGGGCAUCUAUCAACCUUCAACAGGAUCUUCUUACAGUAUAUAAGGGAUACCUGCUCCCCCUUCUAGAGUAUGCUGUGCCACCCAGGAAUGGCAGAAUAACUAAACAUCAUGCAAAUCUUCUUGAACGUGUACAGAAAUGUUCACUCAAACUUAUAUUAGGAUCCGAUCAUAAUCAUUAUCAACAUGCCUUAGGUCCUCAAAUUUGCCACAGAUGUGAAAGCAAACUCAAAGUUGAAUAAUGUUAUCCCCACUCGACCAAGCAAUGAUAAAGUGCUUCGAAAUUCCAGUGAUCCCCAGUUGCAAUGUAGAACAAAUAGAUUCAAGAGUAAUGCAGUACCCUACCUCACUGACUCUAACUGUAAUUGAUUCCACUUUAUAAGUUGAUGACUGGUCUCUGAUAUGUUCUUAAACUAUCUUUUAACUUGUUCUUUGUUCUUUGUUUUAAGUUGUGAUGACUAGUUUGUUCAAGGUGCAUGGAUCUUGUAACCUUUAAACAAUCUUCACCUAGUAUUCUUUUUAUUGUUAUUAGACAAAUUUUGUGAGUUGUCAGUCUCUGAUCUGUUCUCAAAUCUUUUAAUUAAUUUGUGGUUCUUACAGUUUCCUCAGGUUGUGGCCAUUAUUUAUUUUGAAGUGGUAAAAUGGACUUGAAUUAGUACUGAUGUUAUUGACGUCCCUGCUCUGCUGUCCUUGUCAUCGUCUACACGUAUUGCUGGGGUCCUGUCUGUGGUCAUUGUUGGUUUUUGUUUAUUGUGAACCAUUUAUUUUUAACUUAAUUUAACCUCAUAAAAACUAUUGUGGCGAAUGCAACUGACACCUCUUGUGGUGGACCCAGUAACCGGCCGGAUC
Molecule: unclassified non-coding RNA, 2705 nt
Filed under: Acanthaster planci (crown-of-thorns starfish)
Lineage: Eukaryota; Metazoa; Echinodermata; Asteroidea; Valvatida; Acanthasteridae
Description: ankyrin repeat, SAM and basic leucine zipper domain- containing protein 1-like, transcript variant X1
Source: RNAcentral